GACGAACGCUGGCGGCGUGCUUAACACAUGCAAGUCGAACGGAAAGGCCCUGCUUUUGUGGUGUGCUCGAGUGGCGAACGGGUGAGUAACACGUGAGUAACCUGCCCUUGACUUUGGGAUAACUUCAGGAAACUGGGGCUAAUACCGGAUAGGAGCUCCUGCUGCAUGGUGGGGGUUGGAAAGUUUCGGCGGUUGGGGAUGGACUCGCGGCUUAUCAGCUUGUUGGUGGGGUAGUGGCUUACCAAGGCUUUGACGGGUAGCCGGCCUGAGAGGGGGACCGGCCACAAUGGGACUGAGAUACGGCGCAGACGCCUACGGGAGGCAGCAGGGGGGAAUAUUGCACAAUGGGCGGAAGCCUGAUGCAGCAACGCCGCGUGCGGGAUGACGGCCUGCGGGUUGUAAACCGCUUUCGCCUGUGACGAAGCGGGAGUGACGGUAAUGGGUAAAGAAGCACCGGCUAACUACGUG
Molecule: ribosomal RNA, 468 nt
Filed under: uncultured bacterium
Lineage: Bacteria
Description: partial 16S ribosomal RNA
Rfam family: Bacterial small subunit ribosomal RNA
Source: RNAcentral